CCGGCGGCGGCUUACACAUGCAAGUCGAGCGCACUCUUCGGAGUGAGCGGCGGACGGGUUAGUAACGCGUGGGAACGUGCCCUUCUCUAAGGAAUAGCCACUGGAAACGGUGAGUAAUACCUUAUACGCCCUUCGGGGGAAAGAUUUAUCGGAGAAGGAUCGGCCCGCGUUAGAUUAGAUAGUUGGUGGGGUAAUGGCCUACCAAGUCUACGAUCUAUAGCUGGUUUUAGAGGAUGAUCAGCAACACUGGGACUGAGACACGGCCCAGACUCCUACGGGAGGCAGCAGUGGGGAAUCUUGGACAAUGGGCGCAAGCCUGAUCCAGCCAUGCCGCGUGAGUGAUGAAGGCCUUAGGGUCGUAAAGCUCUUUCGCCAGAGAUGAUAAUGACAGUAUCUGGUAAAGAAACCCCGGCUAACUCCGUGCCAGCAGCCGCGGUAAUACGGAGGGGGUUAGCGUUGUUCGGAAUUACUGGGCGUAAAGCGCACGUAGGCGGAUCAGAAAGUAUAGGGUGAAAUCCCAGGGCUCAACCCUGGAACUGCCUUGUAAACUCCUGGUCUUGAGUUCGAGAGAGGUGAGUGGAAUUCCGAGUGUAGAGGUGAAAUUCGUAGAUAUUCGGAGGAACACCAGUGGCGAAGGCGGCUCACUGGCUCGAUACUGACGCUGAGGUGCGAAAGUGUGGGGAGCAAACAGGAUUAGAUACCCUGGUAGU
RNAcentral lists this ribosomal RNA (710 nucleotides) under Phaeobacter sp. Its description in RNAcentral is "bacterial SSU rRNA". It matches the Rfam family "Bacterial small subunit ribosomal RNA", at positions 36 to 794 of the family's 1533-position model. Lineage: Bacteria; Pseudomonadati; Pseudomonadota; Alphaproteobacteria; Rhodobacterales; Roseobacteraceae. The record is from RNAcentral.